AAAAGAGAGUUAAAAAGUACGUGAAAUUGUUGAAAGGGAAGCGUUUAUGACCAGACUUGGGCUUGGUUAAUCAUCUGGGGUUCUCCCCAGUGCACUUUUCCAGUCCAGGCCAGCAUCAGUUUUCGCCGGGGGAUAAAGGCUUCGGGAAUGUGGCUCCCCUCGGGGAGUGUUAUAGCCCGUUGUGUAAUACCCUGGCGGGGACUGAGGUUCGCGCUUCUGCAAGGAUGCUGGCGUAAUGG
RNAcentral lists this ribosomal RNA (239 nucleotides) under Fusarium acuminatum. Its description in RNAcentral is "28S ribosomal RNA". Lineage: Eukaryota; Fungi; Ascomycota; Sordariomycetes; Hypocreales; Nectriaceae. The record is from RNAcentral.